This is a long non-coding RNA of Drosophila miranda, 720 nucleotides long. RefSeq lists it as uncharacterized. The transcript has 2 exons. The record is from RefSeq and is a predicted model, not a curated record. Lineage: Eukaryota; Metazoa; Arthropoda; Insecta; Diptera; Drosophilidae.
UAGUUUUUGUUUACUUCCUCAGUGUGUGUUUGUGUGUGUUUCGAACAGAGUCAACAAAAUUUUCGUUCCGCUCAAAAUUAAAUGUAUUUUUUGUGUAACAACAAAUCCCGUUCACAAGCCGUGUGUUCUUCUCAGGACGACCUCUGACGCUUGGCCCUUUCGCCUUGAAGUCCCCAAAGGGCAGAACUUUGCCUUUCAGCGAUCCAGCACGGAUGGAUUUAUUAAGGAUUAUAGUGAUGCCAGCACUGCGCAGUCAGGAACAUUCAGGUGGAUGUUUCCACGAGCAGCUUCUAAUCGGAAUCCACCUCCAGCUCUGGGUACUGAUUGUUCAAAUCUCGUUUUUCAAUAAAGUUACGCGCCACAGUGAGGGCUAUCCGGGCGGAAUUCUUCAUCGGAUCUCCGAGGAUUCCGCUCAAACCAGCACUGAGACCAGCAGCAGGCCUAGGAAGAUGGUGCCCUAACUCUUGACGAAACGGAAGGCAAUCUUGCGCAUAACCUUCUCGAACAGAGGUACUGCCUCAAAGCGCGAUCUUGAGCACUGAAGCGAUCAACAAAUACUCCACUAGUCUUGGAAGAGGUCCUGGGCCAAGGGAUUUCCCGACUGGUGGGGCAUUCAACCAAGAGAUGUUUCUGCUUGCACUCCUGGACUAAAGAACUAAUUUUGUAAUCGAAUGAAAAACCGGUUUGGGAUUGAAAAUCUUUGCUGUUGAUGUAUCCGAU